ACGACCUUACUUGAACAGGAUCUGUUCUAUAGGCUCGUACCAUUGUGUCCUUGAGUUCUAAGGAGACAAGAACCUAAGCCUGGUUGAUGAAUCAUGGCCGUGUAAUCAGAGCGUGAUUAAUGGGCUCUGAUGGAUCUCUCUUCUGAGAGUGUCAUCUGUGGCAAUAGAGGAUCGUUCUUAGGCAGUGUUCCACACCGUCUGGGAUGGUUACACGGUUGUCUGACAGGCU
This is a non-coding RNA of Lupinus albus (white lupine), 229 nucleotides long. The record is from the annotation of a GenBank genome assembly. Lineage: Eukaryota; Viridiplantae; Streptophyta; Magnoliopsida; Fabales; Fabaceae.